UCCGCCGUGGUGUAGUGGUUAGCAUUGGUCGCUUUCAACCAUGGAAGUCAAUUCCAAGGUGAAGUGCCGACUAGACCCGGGUUCAAUUCCCGGCGGCGGAA
This is a non-coding RNA of Tricharina praecox, 101 nucleotides long. The record is from the annotation of a RefSeq genome assembly. NCBI's taxonomy places the organism in Eukaryota, Fungi, Ascomycota, Pezizomycetes, Pezizales, Pyronemataceae.